AUAAUAAAAAAAACAAAACUGUAUAAAUGACAAACAAAACAAUCAAAGACACUAUUUUAUUGUAAAUGUAUAAAAAAAUAACCAAUUUUUAUUUGAAAAAAAAACCCAGAUACACCUAUGCUAUGAAUGAUUCCUAUUAGUGUCCUUUAUUGAUCCCUCCCUCUCUUGUUAUCCUUUCUCGACUUUCCUAAAAGGCAGCAUUUAAAAUGUUCCAAUCAGAUUCUUCUUGCCAGUAAAAAACAGCUUAGAAAUGAAAUCCAGGGUCAAAGACGCACUGAAUUUAUAGACUGAGUUCCAAGACUCUUUAAAAUUUUUAGGAUCUACUAACCCUUAUUGGCUGAGAACUAGACCCAGUACAAGAUGUUGUAAGAAUCCAAAAGACAAGCUAGCUUGCUAUCCAAUAUUAAAAGUUUGUCUAGUAAUGGAUUACUCCAACCCCUAUGACCAGGACUGCUUUUAGAAGUGCUCAUCUUGAAAUGCUACUUAUACACAAUAAUCUGCACUUUUGUUCCGAGGUCCAGUUGCAGCACUAGCACAUAUGACUUAGGCAGUCCGGAACUCUGUUCUAGACUGCCUCAUGUAAAUUUUGUGCAAAAACGAAAUCUUCUGUCAGCACGCACUGCACGCUGGCGACACAAUAAUCACUUGUCAGCAUGCCUACAGUGUGAAGCCUUCUAUCUGUCCCUCUUUUACAUUACAAUAUUAAAUUUAGCCCUCCUCUUGAUAUACAUUUGAAACUUGAGAUCUCCCCUCGUGCCACCUUCUCUUGAUGCAACCCUCCCUCCCUAGGGAUAAAAAAAGCCGAGUGGAUUGUGGAGAACCUGCCCCAAAGUUAAUUCACUGUCAGUUUUAAUCUAUUUUCAGAGGUUUUUAGCUAAUAAAAUGCACAGGAACCAAAUGACAAAUGGACAAUAGGGAAAUAUAAGCCCCGCAAAAAUAAUAAUAAAAAAAGGGUUUGAUUAAACAUUUAAACAUGGAGUUGUCUUUCAUCACAUCCUGAUAACUAAUAAAUUACACAUACAAAUAAAGUGUUCUGUGUGAUAAGGCACUUAAAUAGAAAUAGAGGUGCUCUCAAGUAUAGCAGCUUCCACACAUAAAUAGGAACUCCCCAAUCCUACUAUAAUUAGUGCAAAAAGAAAACACUAUUAUACAACCAAAUGACAAUAGUGAAAAGGGUAGCGCUGAAAAAUAGUAACAACUUACUCCCAAAAGUUUGGGGACAUUGAGGUUAUAGAGACUACUGUAGGGAAAAAUAAAAGGUACAUGGUUUAGUACAGUAAUGCCCAAUGGGAUUAUUAACUCCUAAUGAAAAGCACUCACGUGGUUUAGAGCCUAAUGAGGAUUGGCUCUAAUCACUUGCGCUCUUGUGUACUCUGGGUGACACACACCCUAUGAAUCCAUAUUCAGUGAUGACCUCAAUAACAUGGAGAGAAAAAAGAGAGAGAAACAGGGAAACUUGCCCUGGUGCGGAAAUCUUCAAUAAGAUAUUGUACAAUAAUAAAGAUACAGGUUGCUUCUCACCUUAUUAAGAGCCUAUAACCUGGCUCUAAGUGUACAUGUGUAUGAGUCUUUGUUUAGGGUGACACUGCUCUUCUUUUAACAGGAUAGAUGUUCCACCAGACAGUGUAUUCCAAAUAAAAAAUAACAUUUAUUUUAUUCUCAAUUGAGAAAUUCAACGGAAUCGGCGAAACGCAUUUUGGACGACGAUAUAAGCACUUUGUAUGUAUUCAUUGAUUUUAAUUUUUGAAUAUAAUAAAUGUUAUUUUUUAUUUAGAAUACACUGUCUGGUGCAUAUAUAUAUGUAUGUGUGUAUGUAUGUGAUGAUUGUCAAGGGGUUUAAACAUCCUCCUAUAAUUUUUAUUUGUGCUAUAGUAUUGCACUCACAUCUACAUGUCCUGGAAGAUUUCAGUGUAGAGUAGCAAUUUAACUAAUGGUUAAGUACAUAGAUUUAUAGAUUCUACAUCUAUUCCAUUUCCUUGGGUUAGAGAACUUGGAGUAUUGGAACCAUUUUUAUACAUUUGAAUAAUUCGUUUUUGAAUAUAAUUAUUAAUAUUAAUAUUAAUUUAGUUGUCUUUUUUGAUUAGGAUGUUACAGGGAAAUCAUUGUAAUAAAUAGUUCAACACUUCCCCUGUGCAAGUGAAAACACACAUAAAUGUGAAAAAAAA
Non-coding RNA from Pelobates cultripes (western spadefoot toad), 2165 nucleotides. Lineage: Eukaryota; Metazoa; Chordata; Amphibia; Anura; Pelobatidae. The record is from the annotation of a GenBank genome assembly.